GUGCCAGCCGCCGCGGUAAUACGGAGGGUGCAAGCGUUGUUCGGAAUUACUGGGCGUAAAGCGCGUGUAGGCGGCACUCUAAGUCUGGUGUGAAAGCCCGGGGCUUACCCCCGGAAGUGCAUUGGAUACUGGAGUACUAGAGUACCGGAGAGGAGGGUGGAAUUCCUGGUGUAGCGGUGAAAUGCGUAGAUAUCAGGAAGAACACCGGUGGCGAAGGCGGCCCUCUGGACGGAUACUGACGCUGAGACGCGAAAGCGUGGGGAGCAAACAGGAUUAGAUACCCUCGUAGUCC
RNAcentral lists this ribosomal RNA (292 nucleotides) under uncultured bacterium. RNAcentral's name for it is "partial 16S ribosomal RNA". It matches the Rfam family "Bacterial small subunit ribosomal RNA", at positions 505 to 796 of the family's 1533-position model. The record is from RNAcentral.